AUGCAAUAGUCAUUGGGCUAAAAUGUAGAAAAUAUGUUCUAUUCGUGAUAUUAGAUUUAUUAUUAUUAUAAUAAAAUCUCGCGAUAGUUUUUUCACGGUGGAUUGGUUGGAGCAGAAGCGGAGGGGCGGGGCUUCUCAGGUGGAACAGCAAUUUUCUGCUUCGACACGUGAAUUUUACACGGAGAAAGUGUGGAUCAUGGACAAAAUGAGACCAAAUAAAGCCAACAGAAGGCUGAGCGAGGAGACUAAAGCCAGACUUCAACGUCGCUUCACAAGACUCAGAAAACAUCAUGACGAAUGCCACAGGAGACAUUUAACGAGACAGAAGGCAAAAGAAGCUUCAACAAAAAAAAAACAAGUGCUGGUCUCAUCAGGC
This is a long non-coding RNA of Boleophthalmus pectinirostris (great blue-spotted mudskipper), 376 nucleotides long. RefSeq lists it as uncharacterized. The transcript is spliced from 3 exons. The record is from RefSeq and is a predicted model, not a curated record. NCBI's taxonomy places the organism in Eukaryota, Metazoa, Chordata, Actinopteri, Gobiiformes, Gobiidae.